AAUUGGAAUGAUGGGAAUUUAAACCUCUUCCAGAGUAUCAAUUGGAGGGCAAGUCUGGUGCCAGCAGCCGCGGUAAUUCCAGCUCCAAUAGCGUAUAUUAAAAUUGUUGCAGUUAAAAAGCUCGUAGUUGAAUUUCUGCUGCAUCGUCGCAUCUCUUGCUGAGUGCUUCGUUUCGGCUUAUUUCGGAUUGAUUUUUUCUUUCCGGAUGAUUACUUUGAGAAAAUUAGAGUGCUCAAAGCAGGCUUUUGCCUUGAAUAGUUUAGCAUGGAAUAAUAAAGUAGGACUUUGGUUCUAUUUUGUUGGUUUUAGGUACCAAAGUAAUGGUUAAUAGGAACAGUUGGGGGCAUUCGUAUUUAACUGUCAGAGGUGAAAUUCUUAGAUUUGUUAAAGACGAACUACUGCGAAAGCAUUUGCCAAGGAUGUUUUCAUUAAUCAAGAACGAAAGUUAGGGGAUCGAAGACGAUCAGAUACCGUCGUAGUCCUACCC
Molecule: ribosomal RNA, 487 nt
Filed under: Theileria sinensis
Lineage: Eukaryota; Apicomplexa; Aconoidasida; Piroplasmida; Theileriidae
Description: SSU rRNA
Rfam family: Eukaryotic small subunit ribosomal RNA
Source: RNAcentral